CCAUCCAUCCUGGCUGAGGAAGCAGCUGGAGGGAGCCAAGAUAAGUCCAAAGUGAAAUGUUUUUGGAGAGCCCACACAGGCAUGAAGAAGCCACGCAGAGCCUGGAGUGUGGUGCUGGAGAGGGUAGAGAGGUCAGCCAAAGCUGCGCCUUGCAGAACAUGGCCCACCUCUUCACGAGAGAGGAUGCUGCUGCUCCGGAACCGCACAAACUGGCCCAGGGAGAGAAGCCCCAAACAUGUAGUGAUUCGGCAUCUCCUUCAUUCACAGGAUGACAUUCUUCAGACCACAGGACCAUCCUUUCUGCACUUACCAGGGUCAUGAGCCUCAAGAUCUCAGCUCUGAGGAAGGAAUUCUCUCCAGCAUCCAGGAGGGUAAAUAGCAAAAACCGAUUCCAGGGCUGGGAGGCCACAUGGAGUGCUAUGGGAAACACCAGUCAACCGUGCGUUCUUAAUGCUGCUUUUCCAAAGGCCUUGGAACAUUGCUAAAGAAAACUUUCUCCUAUU
Long non-coding RNA from Eubalaena glacialis (North Atlantic right whale), 503 nucleotides. RefSeq lists it as uncharacterized. The record is from RefSeq and is a predicted model, not a curated record. NCBI's taxonomy places the organism in Eukaryota, Metazoa, Chordata, Mammalia, Artiodactyla, Balaenidae. The transcript has 3 exons.